This 468-nucleotide ribosomal RNA is filed under the name uncultured bacterium. Its description in RNAcentral is "partial 16S ribosomal RNA". It matches the Rfam family "Bacterial small subunit ribosomal RNA", at positions 28 to 507 of the family's 1533-position model. The record is from RNAcentral.
GACGAACGCUGGCGGCGUGCUUAACACAUGCAAGUCGAACGGAAAGGCCCUGCUUUUGUGGGGUGCUCGAGUGGCGCACGGGUGAGUAACACGUGAGUAACCUGCCCUUGACUUUGGGAUAACUUCAGGAAACUGGGGCUAAUACCGGAUAGGAGCUCCUGCUGCAUGGUGGGGGUUGGAAAGUUUCGGCGGUUGUGGAUGGACUCGCGGCUUAUCAGCUUGUUGGUGUGGUAGUGGCUUACCAAGGCUUUGACGGGUAGGCGGCCUGAGAGGGUGACCGGCCACAUUGGGACUGAGAUACGGCCCAGACUCCUACGGGAGGCAGCAGUGGGGAAUAUUGCACAAUGGGCGGAAGCCUGAUGCAGCAACGCCGCGUGCGGGAUGACGGCCUUCGGGUUGUAAACCGCUUUGGCCUGUGACGAAGCGUGAGUGACGGUAAUGGGUAAAGAAGCACCGGCUAACUACGUG